Molecule: long non-coding RNA, 3130 nt
Organism: Alligator mississippiensis (American alligator)
Lineage: Eukaryota; Metazoa; Chordata; Crocodylia; Alligatoridae
Exons: 2
Source: RefSeq, a predicted model, not a curated record
CCGGAGACUGGUUUCCCGUAAGGGAGGAAGAAGGGAGUGAAAAAGAGAGUGGCAGAGAAAUGUUGGGGGGGUUCACCUGGAAAUGGGGGAGAAAAAAAAAGAGAAGCCCUAGGAAUGGUAAGUAUAGUGGAACCGCAAGGAAAAGGGUCUUAAAAAAAAAUUAAACUCACUAUUUUUAUAUAUGUAAAAAAAAGAAAAAAGCAGCAAAUCUGGAAUCUUUAGGGUGUUGCUACCUGAAGAAAAGUCUCUUUUGUAAAGGAAACUCCCCAUCUGAGCAUAUUGGAAAAGGUGGUUUUGAAAGGGAAAUUCUCCUUUUUCAGACUGGAAAUUCACUAUCUUUGUACUUAUAUAAAAAAAGAAAGGAAUCGCUAAAGUCUAAAGGAAACAAUUUGGAGUGAAAGGUGCAAUUUUAUAGCUGUAAAUGGUAUAAAUGUUUGAAAACGGCAUUGUUUAAAGUGCCCAGGAAACAUUUUUAGAUUGAACCUGGCUAUUUUUUAUGCCUUUAAAAUGACACUGUUAAAGUACCAAGGAAACAUUUGAAGAUUGAAACGGGCUAUUUUUGUACCUUUAACAAUAGCACCGUUAAAGUGUAAAAGAAACAUUUUAAAUUGAAACUUCCUACAUUAACAUUGCCAUUGUUCAAGGUAUACAGGUUGGAAGUUGCAAUCUAAAAAUGUUUUCUUGACACUUAACCCUGCCAUUGUUAAAGGUACAAAAAGUGUCAAGGUAACAUUUUUUAAAGAUUGAAGCUCGCUAUUUUAACACCACCAUUUUUAAAUGCAUAAAUCUAGCGAGUUUUGAUCUAAACUUUUCCCUUUUAAUUUCUGGGUUGAAACUUGCUAUUUUGGGAUGUUAUAAAAUGGCGUCAUUAAAGCAAACAGGAACAUUUUUUAGACUGAAACGCCCAAUUUUUUUUUUUACUUUGAAAAAUAGUGUUGUUCAAAUAUACAGGAAACAUUUUUAGACUGAACCUUGCUAUUUUUUAUAUGUUUUAAAAAAGGAAAUACAGUGGAAAGGGAAAACCUCUUUAAAAUAAAAGAAUAUUCAGUGUUUCUUCUACAUUUAAAAGAAAGACUCCCCUUGAGAUGUAAGGUGCCGUCUCAUCAUGAAACUCCCUGUUUUUAUACACCCAUCCCCCAGUAACAUUUUUAAAACCCAUGUGUCAAAAAUUCCCUUUUUAAAAAAAGCGAAACUUACUAUUUUUAUAUAUUUGAAGAAAAAACCCACCAAGAAAGGUAAAGUAAACUCUGGAAAAGAAAACUCUCUUUUUAAAAAUGAAACUCACUUUUUUAAUACUUUAAAGUAAGCCUGGAAAUUGUUUAAGCAUGUAUUAAAAAGAAAAGCUCCCCCUUUAAAAAUAAUAUUCCUGUUUUUAGACAUUAAAAAACUCCGAAACCUGAUUUUUUUUGAUCUCAUAUUUGAAAAACCUUUUUAAAAUGAAAGGCAUCAUUUUUAUACCUUUUCACUAUUUUGCCUGUUUCAUUACAUUUUAACUAUUUUUAUCCAUUCUCAGCAUUUUCCCAUUGUUUCUAUAGGUCCACUAAUCUUUUCACUGUGCCACCAAAUCCUCAUGUUUCUUCUACAUUUCCACUAUUUUUUUCAAUAUUUCAGUAAAUGAUCAUUAUUUUAUACAUUUUCACUAUUUUCUGAUUUCAGUAUAUUUUCCCUAUUUUAUACCCUUUCCCACCAUUCAUCUCAUAAUUUCACUACAUUUUCAAUUUUUUAAUACAUGGACACUAUUUUCACCAUUUCACUCAUUUUUCAUGUUUAUACGUCUUGUGCUAUUUUCACCAUUUCACUAUUUUCACUUGUUUUAUACAUCUCCUGCUAUUUUUCACCAUUUCUCUACAUUUUCACUACUUCUAUACACCUCCUGCGGUUUUUCACCGCUUCAGUAUUUUCAUUACUUCUAUACAGCUUCCACUAUUUUUUCAUCAUUUUCAUCACUAUACAUUUUCCUGUUUUUCACAAUAUUUUGUGGUUGCCUAUAUUUAUACUAGUUCCCCAUUUGAACUAGUUUUUAUACAUUUCCCACUAUUUUUUUCCACUAUUUCACCUCACACAAAACAGCGAGUUUCAGUCUGAAAAUGGUUCCUGUAUGCUUUAACAAUGACACUUUUAAAAGUAUGAAAAUAGGGAGUUUCAGCCUAAAAAUGGUCCCUGCAUGCUUUAAAUGAUGCCAUUUUUAAAGGUACAAAAAUAGGGAGUUUCAGUCUAAAAAUGUUAUACGUUUUCACUAUUUUGUACCAACCUACUCCAUCUGCACUAUUUUUAUACAUUUUCUACUUUCUCCCCCUAUUCUACUGAAUUCUCACCAGGCAUUUCUCACCAUAUUUCACUAGAUUUUCACCCUUCUACUACGUCUUCACAAUUCCUUUCACCAUCCCAUACCAUCUUCCCUAUUUCUAUUAAUUUCCUGCUAUUUUUUCACUACACCGCUAUAUUUUCACUAUUCACUUUCACCAUACUUCACUAAUUUUUUAUUCCACCUUCCCUAUUUCUGUACGUUUUUGGCUAUUUUUUUUUUCACUCUGCUACUAUAUUACCACUAUAUAUUUUCACUAUUUCACUCAUUUUUCACCAUCUCACUACCAUCUUACUUUUAUACACAUCCUGCUAUUCUUUCACUACCCCACUAUAUUAUCGCUAUACUUUACACAGUUGUUCACUCCAUUUUCUGCCAUUUCACUGCACCUUCCAUAUUUUUAUAUCUUUAAAGGCCUUGUUACAUGUUCUUUUGGGGCAGCAGCUGGAGCUCUUAAAUGUGUUGUGUGGUCUUUUUGUGGGUUAAGUGGCUUAAAGCACUCGCUAUGCAGCUUAAAGGGCCCAGUUGUCUCUUGAUCCUGUUUGAUGAAGCUGGGGCCACCCCCCACAGCUGUGCAGCUCAAGUUCAAGGUGUGAAGGCAAGCUAGAACAAAGCUGAUAGACGUUUGUACAGCUCUCCAAGUACCAUGAAACAAGGCUCUGAGAAACAAGGCCUGUUUUUCCAGAUCAAAGUCAGCUUUUCAGUUGGGUUUCACAGUUUAGCGGGGAAAAAAAUAAGUAGCUUUUUUGUUUUUUUUUUAAAGAAAAGGCAGUUAUUUUAAGACCUUUCCAAGAACCCCUGGCCCCGAGAAGGCAGAGGGUGAAA